Molecule: ribosomal RNA, 516 nt
Filed under: Lacticaseibacillus paracasei
Lineage: Bacteria; Bacillati; Bacillota; Bacilli; Lactobacillales; Lactobacillaceae
Description: bacterial SSU rRNA
Rfam family: Bacterial small subunit ribosomal RNA
Source: RNAcentral
GCCGUGACGGUAUUCAACCAGAAAGUCACGGCUAACUACGUGCCAGCAGCCGCGGUAAUACGUAGGUGGCAAGCGUUAUCCGGAUUUAUUGGGCGUAAAGAGAGCGCAGGCGGUUUUUUAAGUCUGAUGUGAAAGCCUUCGGCUUAACCGAGGAAGUGCAUCGGAAACUGGGAAACUUGAGUGCAGAAGAGGAUAGUGGAACUCCAUGUGUAGCGGUGAAAUGCGUAGAUAUAUGGAAGAACACCAGUGGCGAAGGCGGCUGCCUGGUCUGUAACUGACGCUGAGGCUCGAAAGCAUGGGUAGCGAACAGGAUUAGAUACCCUGGUAGUCCAUGCCGUAAACGAUGAAUGCUAGGUGUUGGAGGGUUUCCGCCCUUCAGUGCCGCAGCUAACGCAUUAAGCAUUCCGCCUGGGGAGUACGACCGCAAGGUUGAAACUCAAAGGAAUUGACGGGGGCCCGCACAAGCGGUGGAGCAUGUGGUUUAAUUCGAAGCUACGCGAAGAACCUUACCAGGUC